This 1827-nucleotide ribosomal RNA is filed under the name Triticum aestivum (bread wheat). Its description in RNAcentral is "partial small subunit ribosomal RNA". The record is from RNAcentral. Lineage: Eukaryota; Viridiplantae; Streptophyta; Magnoliopsida; Poales; Poaceae.
AUGGCUCCGCUUCCUCUCCCCCUUCCCGCCACUCCCUACCCACCCAAACCCCACGAGUCCCCGCGGCCCGCCUCUCUCCAUGCCGCGCUCGCCUCCCUCUCCCAGCAAGGCAGCGACCACGGCAGCCUCCGCGACGCCUUCGCCCUCGUCUCCCGCGCCGAGCGCCAGUCGAGCCCCGGCGCUGCCGUUGCCGUCGGCCCGGAGGUGUACGUGUCCCUCCUGCAGUGCUGCGUCGCCGCGGGGUCCCUCCGCGCGGGACGCCAGGUGCACGCUGCCGCCGUCAAGCGCGGGCCCUACUACUGCCGCCACGCCUACAUCGGCACCAAGCUCGCUGUCUUCUACGCCCGAUGCGGCGCGCUGGCGGACGCCGAGCGCGUGUUCGACGCGCUACCCAAAAAGAACGCCUUCGCCUGGGCCGCCGUCAUCGGAUUAUGGAGCCGCGCCGGGCUGCACGCUAGGGCCCUCGACGGGUACAUCGACAUGCUGCAGGCGGGCGUCCCCGCCGACAACUUCGUCGUGCCCAGCGUGCUGAAGUCAUGCGCCGGGAUCGGGAUGGUCGGGACCGGGAGGGCGCUGCACGGGUACGCCUGGAAGGCGGGGUUCAUGGAAUGCGUAUACGUGUUGAGCAGCCUGGUGGACUUCUACGGGAAGUGUGGCGAGGUGGAUGACGCGCGGGAGGUGUUUGAUGCAAUGACGGAGACGACGGUGGUGACCUGGAACUCCAUGUUGAUGGCGUAUAUAAACAAUGGGAGAAUCGAUGCUGCUGUGGAAUUGUUCUAUCAGAUGAGGGUUGAAGGCGUGCUGCCGACGAGGGUGAGCGUUCUUAGCCUUCUGUCUGCAUCGGCCGAUUUUGAAGCUCCUGAUUGGGGUAGGCAGGGCCAUGCCGUGGCCGUAUCGAGUGGUUUAGCGAUGGAUGUAAUUUUGGGGAGCUCAAUCAUCAACUUUUACUGUAAGGUUGGGAUGGUCGAGGCUGCAGAGGCCGUGUUUGAGCAGAUGGUUGAAAGAGACGCUGUUACAUGGAAUUUGAUGAUUGCUGGGUAUUUGCAGGAUGGGCAAACCGACAAGGCUUUGAUCACUUGUCGAAAAAUGCUCCAGUCUGGCCUUAGGUUUGAUUGUGUGACGUUGGCAUCCAUUAUCAUGGCUUGCAUGACAUCCUGUGGUAUGGAGAUGGGCAGAGUUGCUCACGGCUAUGCAGUUAGAAACUACCUUGAAUCAGACCAAGCGGUUGCUUGUGGCCUGAUAGAGUUGUAUAUGAGUACUCAAAGGACCGAACAUGCACGCAGGCUGUUCGAUGCCAUGAGUUGCAGAGACAUGGUCGUGUGCAGAGUGAUGAUUUCUGCUUAUGCAGAUCAUGGGAUGAGUUCUCAGGCUCUCAAGGUUUUAUAUCAGAUGCAGCAUCAGGGCAUAUCUCCAAGUGCAGCGUGCUGGGAUUCAGUCAUUUCAGCUUUUAUGAAGAAUGAGCAGAUUAGUGAGGCCCUAGAGAUCUUCAAUGAGAUGCUACUAACAAAAACACGCCCAAAUCUACGCACAUGGAGCCUGUUAAUAAGUGGCUUGUCUCGAAAUGGUAUGCACUGCGAGGUAAUGAAUCUAUGCUGCAAGAUGCAAGAAGUAGAGCGAGCACCAAGUCCAACAAUUUUCUCCGCAGCACUUGUUGCCAUGAAGGCUGCAACCUCGGUACAAUAUGGAAAGGCAAUGCAUGCGUGCAUUGUAAAGAAGGGCCUAUUGUUGUCCAAAUCCGUUAUACAGUCCCUGCUAAACAUGUAUGGCAGUUUCAGUGACACAGGCACGGUAGAAAGUUUACUAGGCUUGCUUGCUGCUGCACAGUAA